UCACCUGUUUAUUAUUUCAUCAUGAGGGUUGAUAACGUGAGCGGAGAGACAUUCAGAUUUUUAAAAUAAACAUAUCCAUAAGGAAAUGGUGUCACCGUGCUGAAGAUGGCAAAUCACCCACUGUUUCUGGCUUCUCUAUAUCUGCCCUUUGACUCCUCACAGAAGAGCUGAGUAAGGUAACAGCCUGCGAGGAAGAAUAAGGAAUGUAAAUAAAUGAAGGAGCAGACCCCAACCCCAUCACAUAGCAUGGGACAGCUCAGACGGCAAUGAACGUUCGGCUAAAAUAGAAACGAGCACACGCAAGAUAGCUGGGGAUAGAUCAGACGAAAUUCCACCAAAAAUGCAAAAAAUUUAG
RNAcentral lists this unclassified non-coding RNA (355 nucleotides) under Ceratitis capitata (Mediterranean fruit fly). RNAcentral describes it as "uncharacterized LOC110118344, transcript variant X2". The record is from RNAcentral. Lineage: Eukaryota; Metazoa; Arthropoda; Insecta; Diptera; Tephritidae.